GACGAACGCUGGCGGCGUGCUUAACACAUGCAGGUCGAACGGAAAGGCCCUGCUUGCAGGGUACUCGAGUGGAGAACGGGUGAGUAACACGUGGGUGAUCUGCCCUGCACUUCGGGAUAAGCCUGGGAAACUGGGUCUAAUACCGGAUAGGAGCCAUUUUUAGUGUGAUGGUUGGAAAGUUUUUUCGGUGUAGGAUGAGCUCGCGGCCUAUCAGCUUGUUGGUGGGGUAAUGGCCUACCAAGGCGGCGACGGGUAGCCGGCCUGAGAGGGUGGACGGCCACAUUGGGACUGGGAUACGGCCCAGACUCCUACGGGAGGCAGCAGUGGGGAAUAUUGCACAAUGGGCGCAAGCCUGAUGCAGCGACGCCGCGUGGGGGAUGACGGCCUUCGGGUUGUAAACUCCUUUCGCUAGAGACGAAGCUUUUUGUGACGGUACCUAGAGAAGAAGCACCGGCUAACUACGUG
This 465-nucleotide ribosomal RNA is filed under the name uncultured bacterium. Its description in RNAcentral is "partial 16S ribosomal RNA". It matches the Rfam family "Bacterial small subunit ribosomal RNA", at positions 28 to 507 of the family's 1533-position model. The record is from RNAcentral.